AUUGAACGCUGGCGGCAGGCCUAACACAUGCAAGUCGAGCGGAUGAAGGGAGCUUGCUCCUGGAUUCAGCGGCGGACGGGUGAGUAAUGCCUAGGAAUCUGCCUGGUAGUGGGGGAUAACGUCCGGAAACGGGCGCUAAUACCGCAUACGACCUGAGGGAGAAAGUGGGGGUUCUUCGGACCUCACGCUAUCAGAUGAGCCUAGGUCGGAUUAGCUAGUUGGUGGGGUAAAGGCCUACCAAGGCGACGAUCCGUAACUGGUCUGAGAGGAUGAUCAGUCACACUGGAACUGAGACACGGUCCAGACUCCUACGGGAGGCAGCAGUGGGGAAUAUUGGACAAUGGGCGAAAGCCUGAUCCAGCCAUGCCGCGUGUGUGAAGAAGGUCUUCGGAUUGUAAAGCACGUUAAGUUGGGAGGAAGGGCAGUAAGUUAAAACCUUGCUGUUGUGACGUUACCAACAGAAUAAGCACCGGCUAACUUCGUG
Molecule: ribosomal RNA, 484 nt
Filed under: uncultured bacterium
Lineage: Bacteria
Description: partial 16S ribosomal RNA
Rfam family: Bacterial small subunit ribosomal RNA
Source: RNAcentral